Molecule: long non-coding RNA, 1048 nt
Filed under: Sorghum bicolor (sorghum)
Lineage: Eukaryota; Viridiplantae; Streptophyta; Magnoliopsida; Poales; Poaceae
Description: long non-coding RNA (SBIC_LNC015035)
Source: RNAcentral
CCUGCCAUUUCUGAGGCGUACGUGGUGGAGACGAGGAGCUCGACUGACAUGGCUGCCGGCAGUGCGAGCAAGACGAGGAGGGCGAUCCUUGUGCUCUUCAUCUGGGCCGUGGCUAUGCUCUUCUUCAUGGCCGCCCUCCAGCCCAACGGUAAAUUAAUUGAUCUUGUAUGCAUAUAUACGAAAGAAUUUACUACUACAUUGAAAAAACAGUAAGGUCUUGUUUAAUUCGUGAAAUUUUUUAGCUUUGGCUACUAUAGCAUUUUCGUUUGUAUUUAAUAAUUACUCAUUACCAAAAUAGUGAAGUUCUUCUAGUGUUUUUAAUUAAUAGUAAAACACUACCACUAGUUGUCAUAGCACUAGGGAAUCCUCACUAGAAAAGAUUUACUAGAGAAAAGUUUUUACUAAAUUUUGGAUGCUAAAACACUAGAAAAAGUCCACAUCACUAGCAGUUAAAAAUUUUGGUUGUGAUUGUCUCGUCACGGACUAACUAGGUUCAAAAGAUUUAUCUUGUAAAUCUAUGCAAUUAGUUUUUUGUUUCCGUCUAUAUUUAAUACUCUAGGCAUACGUUAAAAGAUUCGACGAUGUGAUCAAGAAUUUUGAAAAAAAUUUAAAACUAAACCAGACCUAAGUAGCCUGUUGUUUUUCACCAUGCAUUUUCAUUUGUUUGACGCUGAUUUUGUUUGUUUAUUUACAGUACUCACCGCCGCCGACCAGAUCUACUGCAGGUGCUGCGCUGGAAACCAAGAGUGUACACUCGACCCGGCUUGCUGCUAUGACGGUUGCUGCCGCAUGAGACAUUGAUGCAUGCAUGACACCAAGCUUAUAAAUAUCCCCAUCAUCUUUGGCUGCAUUCAUGCAGCUUCUUGUCAGUUCGUACGUACGUACCUACAAUAGCACACACGAUCGACGUGUUCAACUUCGUUCAGCAGCCGUAUACCAAUGGAUAAUAAUGUACCUCUGCCGAGGUCUAUAUAUGUAUGUCUCCAGUUUAUGUUUUCAUUUCCGUUUGUGUGAGUGCUAAAUUAAAGUGUAAUCUGUCAAUCCCAGC